CCUACGGGUGGCAGCAGUGAGGAAUAUUGGUCAAUGGACGGAAGCCUGAACCAGCCAUGCCGCGUGCAGGAAGACGGCCCUAUGAGUUGUAAACCGCUUUUGACAGGGAAGAAAAACGACAGCUCCUGUAGAAUAAGCUCCGGCUAACUACGUGCCAGCAGCCGCGGUAAUACGUAGGGAGCAAGCGGUAUCCGGAUUUAUUGGGUGUAAAGGGUGCGUAGACGGGGAAGCAAGUUAGUUGGGAAAUCCCUCGGCUUAACUGGGGAACUGCAACUAAAACUACUUCCCUUGAGUACUGGAGAGGAAGGUGGAAUUCGUGGUGUAGCGGUGAAAUGCGUAGAUAUUAGGAGGAACACCGAUGGCGAAGGCGGCUUUCUGGGCUGUAACUGACGUUGAGGCACGAAAGUGUGGGGAGCAAACAGGAUUAGAUACCCCAGUAGUC
RNAcentral lists this ribosomal RNA (442 nucleotides) under uncultured bacterium. RNAcentral's name for it is "partial 16S ribosomal RNA". It matches the Rfam family "Bacterial small subunit ribosomal RNA", at positions 338 to 795 of the family's 1533-position model. The record is from RNAcentral.